AGUGAGAGGGGUAGAGGGAAUUAAAUAUUCUUUUAAUACUAUUUCUAAAUUAAAAAAUAUAUUUUAUAGAAUUAAUAUUACACAUAUGUAAUUGUAGUCUCUUUCGCGGAAAUAUAGAUGGCAAUAUUAGCUGUACGUAAUUAUAUUCGAUAAAAGACAAUUUCACUCCAUUGUAAUAGUUUGAAGUGAAAAGGCCGUUUCAUAUUUCUGUAAACAUUUAAAAAGCAUAAUUGGAAUGUCGGUCCAACAUUAAUAUUCAUUAACUCCACAAUUAUUAGUAUAACUUGGGCACCUUCGUUGAAUGCUAUUGUAAACAAAGCUAUUUAAACAAUAAUGGAACCAUUGAAAUUUGAUUUCGGUGCUAUUUGCCACAUUAAUGAAUUGAAACAUUCAUUAUUAUUUCGGAUGAAUCUCCUAGCAUAUCUUUGCAAUAAUUUUGGAUCCAAAAGAUCUUCGUAUAUCGGAAAUAAAUUUAUAGCAACAUCUUCGGGAAGUGGUGGUUUAUCGAUAAACGAUUCCAAGGUAUUAGUUGAUACAGUAUGUUGAAAUUUACACCAGGAGUCAGCAUCCUCACGGCAUGGAGAAAAUGUCGUGAAUGUUUUAAUAAUGACGUUUUAUGGCAAAAAAUUUACCAAAUCCCAUUAUACAUGUCAUCAAUAUCGUUGGAGUUAUAUCGUAUUGCUAAUCCAUAAUAAUUGAUCAGUUUAGUAAUUACUUUACCCUUUAAUCGGCAUUUUUCCCCCAAGCUAUUAUUAUUUCUCUUGAAAGCCUUGAGUCGAUUACCCAUUUUUUUUUACACAUUCUUUGAUGCAUUCUUUUAUUUGCAAACGGGAUAUCCCCAUAAGGCUUUGCAUCGUAAAUACUUUUAUAUGUUUUAGUAUUGCCAUCAUCAAUAUAAUUUAUAUAUUUUAUUUUAUGCAGUGAUUUUAAGAUAUUAAAAACAUUUCUUUCAUCCCAUCGAACUCUAUUUUAUCUGAUGAAUUUUCAUGGUUAAUUAAACAUACUUUUGAAUGCGUCUGCAGUUAUUCAUCGUACUCAUAUAAUUCAUAUAUUCAUAUAUCUUUCAUAUAAUUCAUAUAUUCAUAUACCUUUCAUAUAAUCCAUUUGUGCGCAGGAUCUAUAAAAGCUACACUUCAUAAUGACACCCACAAUUUUGCCAGUAUGAAAACCAAUUAGGGACAAAAUGCCAAAUAAGAAUUUGAAUUCUUUCUUUUUUCAGCUUCCAUUCCCCUACAUUGUGAUUCGACAAACAUCAUUUGAUGUUGACAAAAUUUUAUAAUUUUCUUCUACUUCUUCUUUUGCAGCCUUGAUGAGAACAAUAUCAUUAACAGUUUUUACUGCAUUCUUGAUCUGUUUCACAUACAAUCAUAAAAACUAUGAAAUUUUGGUCGCGGUAAAUCCAUGAAGGUACAAAAUUUUUCUGUACCACAUAGCCCAACACAAAUGAGUUUUAUGGCUAAUUUUCAUAUGUAUUGUUUAUAAGGGGGCAUAAAUCAAUCGACACAGAAUCACAUUUUUCGCAAUUCAUCGCAAGUUCAAAACCUAAUUCUCGAACACCACGUUCAGUAAAAUUUAUAUUACCACCACAAUUUUUAUAAGAAACAUAAUCACGAAGUACAGUAAAAAUAGAAAAGAAGUUCAAAAUUUUAUAAUUUGUAUUUAAAUUAACGUCAAUCAGUAUCAUUUGAUAUUUUUCUUUUGAAACAUUCAUACGCCGUUUGGAACUUUAACCAUUUUCAAUCUCAAAUUUAUUACGAGGUUGAUUAAAUUUUUUUCCGUUUCGUGUAGCUCUUAUUCUAAUGCCUCUAAUUACUUUUUCAACAUUAAUAAUUAACGGUGCAGAAUCGUAUAUACAAGAAGCAACUUGAAGGACAACUGUACAAGGAUCAAGCAAGGACCUAAGAAUCUCAGCGGGGCGUCUGGCGGGAGCGUUGCGCUACCUGCUCUCACUGAAAUAACUGUAACUCAUGAUCUUCCUCCUUAACAAAAAAGCAAGAAAAAAACUAAAGAAUCAUUAUGUAAGAAUGCGUGCUAGUACGAGAGAGCAUGAAAAAGAAAGUGAAAAACGAUUAUCCAUACCCAUCGCUGUCCGUCAAUUAGAAGCUGUUAUAAGAAUUUCUGAAGCUUUGGCAAGAAUGCAACUUCAAUCUUUCGCUACUGAAAUUCAUGUUAAUGAAGCUCUCAGACUAUUUCAAGUUUCUACAUUAGAUGCUGCUAUGUCUGGUUCAUUAGCUGGUAAGAUGUGUGUGUGUGUGUGUGUGUGUGUGUGUGUGUGUGUGUGUGUGUGUGUGUGUGUGUAACAAAUAUCUAGUAAUUAUUAAUUAAAAACAAGAAAAUUAUUUUUAUAACAUACGAGUCCUUAAUAUUAAUACAUCAUAUUAAACUUAAAUAACUUACUUUCUUAAACAAAAAUAUCCAGAACAUGCUAUUUACAAAGUUAUACACACAAUGAUUCGUUGUGGAAAGCUUCAACAUCGGAUGCAACAAAAAAUGUACAGGUUGUAUUAAAAUAUAAGAAAAGCUUUCAUUGUAUAAUUAUUUUUGUGCAUUUUGUUCAGUUCUCCAUACAAUUUACUGCUUUAUUUUUUAUAUAUAAUUCUGUAUUUUUAAAUUAUGUAACAAGAACAAAUCUUUUGCUCAUGGUUUCAAUUCAUUUUUAAGUGGAUAAAAUGGGUGCUUUUCAACUCUAAAAUAAAAAUAAUAAUGAAAAUAUAUGAAAAAAACAUGUUGUACACAACUUAUUUUAAAUAAUGAAAUAUUGAAAAAUUAUUACAGUUAAACUUUAUUACUUACCCCUUAAAAAAAAGAAAAUUGAAUAUUCGGCCAUUUGUACCUUUGUCUAAAGCAUUUAAAGUAUUCAUAUCUUCUUCUGAUAAAACGAAAUCAAAAAUGUUGAUAUUUGAUUUGAUUCUAUCUUGUGAAGAACUUUUUGGAAUAACUAUGAUUCCUUGUUGUACCAGAUGUCGUAAUAAUACUUGUGCUGUUGUUUUUUUAUAUUUAUUAGCCAUUUCAAGUACAACAGGAUGUUCAAGAAGAUUGGGGAAUUUUUCUAAACUAUAAUUAUAUAUUCUUUGUAUAACGACUUUAGCUCCAGGUGAUGCUAAUGAGCUGUAAGCUGUUACAACAAUAUUGUGUUUUUGACAAAAUUCUCUUAUCGGUUUCUGUUGUAAGUAUGCAUGCAAUUCAACCUAUUAAAAAAUAUAUUUACAUUGACUGUACUUUUUGAUUAUAAAAUUAUACAAUAAGUUUAUGAUAUCAACAGCAUGUAUACCUGUAAGUUGGCUGGUUUUAUUUUUGCAUUUUUAUAUACUUCUAAUAUUUGUGCUUCAUUAAAAUUACUUAAACCUAUAGAUUUAACACGUCCUUUUGCUACUUGUUUCUCCAUUUCCUAAAAAUGUUAAAUAAUUAUAAUAUUAUUAGGAGCAACUGGAAAGAGAAGUACUUAUAUCCAUGAUAUUAAUUGCAUAUUAUACCUUCCAUACAGAAACUGGAUCCGUGUCUAGGUCAAGUAUAUAACUACCAUCUUCUAAAGCUGCAGGAGCAUAUGCAUUUUUAUCUAAUACAAAGGCAAAUGGCGCGUGGAUCAGAUACAUAUCCAAAUAAUCCAAACCAAGACGUUCUAAUGAUAAUUUAAGAAACUUUUCAACAUCUAAUGGUCGAUUACCAUAAGGGGGUAACUACAAAAAAUAAUAUACUUUUUUAAUAUACUUAUUAAAAAAUAUAAAAUUCUUAUUCUUUUCAUAUUUGAUUUUUUCUGUUACCUUUGACGUAACAAAAAGUUCUUCACGUUUACCACCUUUGUCAAACCAAUUUUUUAAGCUUUUUCCAAUCGCUUCUUCGUUAUUAUAAUUAAAUGCAGUAUCAAUAUGUCGGUAACCACACUCCAAAGCAGUCGCAACAGCAGCUUCAAUUUCUUCAGGUUUGGCCUUGCAAAUGUAAUAAAAGAGAAGAUAUAUUUAAUUUGUAAAUAAAUAAUUAUAAUAAUAUAUCGCCUAUAAUUAUAUUAUUUAUUAAAAAUCUUAUUAUGUGAAAAGUUUCUAUUUUAUCACCUGCCAUGUCCCUAAACCUACAGUAGGCAUAUCAUGACCAGAUGAUAAUUUUACGGAAUG
Vespa velutina is the source of this 4109-nucleotide RNA transcript. It is a transcript of the gene named DNA replication licensing factor mcm5-A-like, with no coding region annotated. NCBI's taxonomy places the organism in Eukaryota, Metazoa, Arthropoda, Insecta, Hymenoptera, Vespidae. The transcript is spliced from 3 exons. The record is from RefSeq and is a predicted model, not a curated record.